UACGAAGGGGGCUAGCGUUGCUCGGAAUCACUGGGCUUAAAGCGUGCGUAGGCGGAUGUGCAGGCGUCGUAUGAAAGCCCUCGGCUCAACCGGGGAAUUGCACGGCGAACCGCACGUCUCGAGACAAGUAGGGGCGGUCGGAACGAUAGGUGGAGUGGUGAAAUGCGUUGAUAUCUAUCGGAACGCCAAAGGUGAAGACAGACCGCUGGGCUUGUUCUGACGCCGAGGCACGAAAGCGUGGGGAGCAAGCGGG
Molecule: ribosomal RNA, 253 nt
Filed under: uncultured bacterium
Lineage: Bacteria
Description: partial 16S ribosomal RNA
Rfam family: Bacterial small subunit ribosomal RNA
Source: RNAcentral